Molecule: non-coding RNA, 216 nt
Organism: Myodes glareolus (Bank vole)
Lineage: Eukaryota; Metazoa; Chordata; Mammalia; Rodentia; Cricetidae
Source: RefSeq, a predicted model, not a curated record
CAGAUCACUGAAGAGGCAGCAUGUAACUUGCCCAGCUGAGAAAGCCUUUUGCAAUGAUGCUGUAUCUUAACCACAACCCAGGAAACAGGAAACCCAGGCCAGCUGACCAUCAGCUAAAACCAUGGCCCAGAAGAAAUAUUUUUCUCCUUUAAACUGUCUGUUAGAUAUUUGGUCACAGUGCUGAGAAACCUGACUAAUACAAUGAAUUACUUUAUA